This is a long non-coding RNA of Parasteatoda tepidariorum (common house spider), 700 nucleotides long. NCBI's taxonomy places the organism in Eukaryota, Metazoa, Arthropoda, Arachnida, Araneae, Theridiidae. The record is from RefSeq and is a predicted model, not a curated record.
UGUUAAUUUAAACAUUAGUUACAAUUUAGUUGGCAUCACAGUCAAGCUUCUUUCUGCUUUCUAGAUAUUUUUCGAUUUUAAUCUUAAAAGAAGUUUAGUUCUGACUACUGAAGGAACGGAAAUAUUCUACGUUUGAAAAAUAAUUUCGCUUGAAAAUGUCUGAAGAACACUUUGAUCAAUUUGAACACUACAAUUAUGAUCAAGAAAAAUUUGUGAAUGCUGGUCAUGGAGGAAAACAAAGGUCUAAAAAGGAACUUGGUGAGCACCACAACAAACAUGACCCUUGCGGAAAUGUACGAAAAAUAGUUACUAAAAUGCAGAAUACUGAAGUAAAUAGAAGAGAAGGAAACGUAAAUAAGCCGACGUAGCUAUUAAAUAGCGUAUGUGAUUGAUUCAUUUUGUCGAGAAUAGGACAAGGAAUUCCAGUGGAAAAGGCGAGGCUUUAUUACCAUCGAGCAAUGAUUAGAGCAUGUGUAUUUUUCUUAUUUGAUCUGGACAUGCAAUUCCAUAUUACUUUUGAAUAAAUUUUGUAAAUGUUAAAAUAACCUUUACUUUUCUUUCAUUUUAUAUGCCCCAUUCUUUUUAUUAUCUACAACAUUUAAUGAUUGUUGACUCUUUUUAAAGAUGUGGUUCCAAUGGGGCUUCUUUAUUUAAUGGUUUUGUGUUUAAAUAUGUCCUAAUAAAUGAACUUUCAUUUGUU